This 240-nucleotide ribosomal RNA is filed under the name uncultured bacterium. Its description in RNAcentral is "partial 16S ribosomal RNA". It matches the Rfam family "Bacterial small subunit ribosomal RNA", at positions 118 to 344 of the family's 1533-position model. The record is from RNAcentral.
UGGGUAACCUGCCUCAAAGAGGGGAAUAGCCUCCCGAAAGGGAGAUUAAUACCGCAUAAUAUGUUUAGGUCGCAUGACUUUAACAUCAAAGGAUUUCUUUUAGAAAUUCCACUUUGAGAUGGACCCCGCGGCGCAUUAGCUAGUUGGUGAGGUAACGGCUCACCAAGGCAACGAUGCGUAGCCGACCUGAGAGGGUNAUCGGCCACAUUGGAAACUAAGACACGAUCCAGACUCCGUAGG